Long non-coding RNA from Rhagoletis zephyria (snowberry fruit fly), 1427 nucleotides. RefSeq lists it as uncharacterized. NCBI's taxonomy places the organism in Eukaryota, Metazoa, Arthropoda, Insecta, Diptera, Tephritidae. The record is from RefSeq and is a predicted model, not a curated record.
UUUUGGCCAAUAACUUAUAUUUAUACACUUAUUACAGCGUAGUAGCCGUGGUGCUCGUGCGAUGUUUGCCAUGCGCAACUUCAUAGGGUUGGCAGACGAUCUUCGUCGUAUGUUAUUGGCGGCAGACUAUUAUUUUUCUCUUUGCUGCUGUAAAAAUAAGCAUUUUAACGAUGAAUUUACAUUUUUCAAUAAUUGCAUCUUCAGGAAUCGUCAGAGAGUUGUCACAAACCAAAUUAAGUGUGUGUGCAAAACAAGGGAUCUUAACAUCGAUUUUGGUACUCGGUAACUCUGUGUUCAGUAAUUUUUCCCCAUGUAUUUUGUUUGUGUAAAAUCAUAUUAUCAUCGGUUUACCGUUUUCAGGUAGUUGGUAAACUGCAAUCAGCUGUUCGAAAUUUAUUAAAUUUUAAAUCAGCUCGCUGCCGAAAGGCAUAACGCAACGCAUAUGAGAGUCAAACGCAUAAGUAUUGUUUGAUAGUAAAAAGCGCAUUACACUAUAUCAUAUGGAAUAAAUCCAUAGUAAUUGUAUAAACUCAACAUCAGCGACGGGGGAACUUCAACCUAUCAGUAGGUGUUACUGGAGAAUUGAAAGGAAAAAAAUCAGAACAUAAAAUCAUUAAUGGAAAAAAUUAAUAUACAUUGGAAGAUACAUGUUAUUAUGUUAUCUUAUAAAUACCCAUGCGCAUAAUAUUACGCUUACUUCGUUCAUAAGAAAAUAAAAAUAAAAAUAAUGUUACUCAUACAUUUUAGAAAUCAAUCACAUAAUACGAGUUCUAAAACAGCAUUAGAAUUAAUAGCUAAGGAUACUAUUGAAGGUGUUUAUUUAUUAUUUAAAAUUGCCAUAAGAAUACAAAUUGUUUAUAAUUGGUUGCAUAAAUUCAUAUUUGUAUUUAUUUGGUAAGUUAUAUUUAUAAAAUAAUUCAUUCCAUUACCAAUAGAAAAUUUUUUUAUUAUAUGUAUGCAUGAAGCCAAAUAAUUAACUGUUUAAGCAUAAGAAUGUGCCGUCCAAGUAUUUUAUUUCAAUGUUUAACUAUUUAUUCUGCUUUAAUCAUCAUUAUGUUACACUUAUACAUACAAAUACAUGUAUAAAAAUCUAUUGAAUUUCUCAGCUGAAUAGUUAUAACACAUAAGUCGCUAACGAUUUAAGCUUCUGCAGAGUUUUGUAAGCUUUUAGGAUGUGAAACUAACCUUAAAUAUACUCAUAUUUCUUAAAAGUAAUGACAACAGUUUUCACUCCCAUUUAAAUGUACAAACUGUUAAGAUGCAUAAGGCUUAAGUUUAAUAAUUAUUUGAAAAUUUAAUUGAUGUAUCCUGAUAGUUACCCAACCAAAUAUAUCGCAAUAUUUUCCAAUUUCGUUCACGAAAAUAUGUGAAAACACCAAAUGAAUUAUAACUUGUACAAUUUAUACACUAUAAAUAAACAAAAAAAA